Molecule: long non-coding RNA, 644 nt
Organism: Drosophila hydei
Lineage: Eukaryota; Metazoa; Arthropoda; Insecta; Diptera; Drosophilidae
Exons: 3
Source: RefSeq, a predicted model, not a curated record
UGUACCUUUUCAUGUGGUUCUUAGCCUUUGUUGAACAUAUCAGUUCAUCAACACACAAAAAUUGUUCCAUAGGAACUUUUUUAAAAUUUUUGUUUAGUUCAUCUAUUAUUGGCCUGAUUUUGAAUAGCCGAUCGUGACAGGAGUGUGACAAAGGCAGAGCAUUAUCAUUGUUGUUAAAAUCAGGGUUAUUACUUUUAACAUUUGGCUCAGAAUCAUCUACGAGAUUUGAGUUUGAAACGUCUAAGGCAUUACUCGGUGGAUUUUGGUCAUCGAUGUCAUCUUCAUCCGUACUACCUGCAUCUUUCUCAUCUGGAUAAAAAUCGCUUUCUUCAUCAGCAGAAAAGUCAAGUUCAUCCUCGCUAUCUAAACUGUUGAAAUAAUUUUCAACCUGUGAAGGUGUUAAACCUUUUCCUGACAUAUUUCCUGCCGCACUCAACAUGUGCUUCUCACAAAAUUGGCGGGAAAGUGAACAUAUGUUUUACAAAACAUCUAGAAAUGUGCCCAAAGCAAAUCAUUUAUAAAAUACGUUUGUUUCAGAUGUACAACAUAUAGCCACAUUCGAUUUUUUCGAUUUGCAUUGCGAAAAAAUAUCUUUUAAAGGGUAUGUUGCAGAUAUGCAACACUGCCAUAUAAAGGGUUAAAAA